RNAcentral lists this transfer RNA (76 nucleotides) under Caudoviricetes sp. RNAcentral's name for it is "tRNA-Lys". It matches the Rfam family "tRNA". From Rfam's summary of the family: Transfer RNA (tRNA) molecules are approximately 80 nucleotides in length. Their secondary structure includes four short double-helical elements and three loops (D, anti-codon, and T loops). Lineage: Duplodnaviria; Heunggongvirae; Uroviricota; Caudoviricetes. The record is from RNAcentral.
CCGCCGAUAGCUCAAUGUCAGAGCACCGUGCUCUUUACACGGGAGAUGCAGCGUUCAAUUCCUGCUCGGCGGACCA